UCUGCCUGUGUUGUGUGCUUCUGUUUCUAAAAUUUUGGAUUCUGAAUUUUGAUAAAUCAUUUUUUACAGGUGCUAAUAUACGGUUUCAGCCACAUACUACUCUUGUCUUAGUUUAAUACCUGAUUCUUAAGUGUAUACAUUUGUAAUACAUGGUCUGAUAGUAUGAAUUUUUCAAUGCAGAGCUGAAUGUGAUUCUUCAAUGCAGUUAUUACAUGUCUAUAGUAAAUCUUAUGGAAAGCUGAAUGCGACAGAAACAGGUAUUCAUACUAAAUACUCUUUAGUUUAGUUACUUUUUCAAAUACAAGUUUAGUUCCUUUUUAUAAUUAUGUUUUAUAUGCUGCCUAGCUCUAAAUAUAUGAGAUACUGAGUUUGUGACGCUAAGAGAAUUUUUUACUUUUAUAGAUUCCAAGAGGUUGAUUUGUCGUAGAGUCUCUGAUGCAUUUGUUAAGAGUGAUAGAAGGAUUUAGUAUGAAUACAUUAGGCUAUUAAAAUUAAUGAUAACAUACUACAUUUUUUAGAAUUCAAAGAAUUUACUUGUUUUUAAUGGUGAGAAGACCUGUAGUCUUAGAUCAUGAUAAACUAUUCUUGUGAUAUCAUAAUAGGCUCUGCAGCCGACGAUAUAUGGAUGAUGGAAAAAUGGAAGUAUGCUUAUUCUUUUUCCAUUUAUUUCAUUAUGUUGAUGGGAAAUUUCAUUUCAUUCUAAUGCAAUUGAUUGAAUCCUUACGGUACUCUUCCUUCUUGAAGACUUCAAUUGAUGUGUUACAACUUACAAGUAUAUGUGGGACAAUUUAGUUACUGAUAACUUUCUUUUACUUAUUUUAGCUUAAACCCUUAAAGUAUUCUAUGUGAAGAUCUUAAAGUCCUAAGUGCUGACUCAGAAUUUUCUACUUUGACCCUUGAUGAUGUGGUGAGAUAUUACAGAAAUACAUAUACGAUGUUGUCCCCAGUUAACGAUAAGCUUUUAUUGAGAUAUGAGUAUCCUUUCUUUGCGAAGAUAAAUUUGGAUCGGUUUUUUUAGGAAACUGAAGAGUUUGAUGAUGAAAAUGCUUUAUCAAUAGUGAGAACAAAUUCUCAAGUAGGCACUUUGGCAUCAGAUUUCCCAUCCACAUCAUAUAUAGGAAAGAUUAUAGAGAUCCAAAAACAACACAUCAGGCAUUCUCUAUGAUUUUUUAUAUUGGUUUUGUAGGUUAUGAUAAUUGGAUGGAACAAUGUCCAAUGGAUAUGUGCAGACAGACACUCAUGUGUCUGUAUUGGUUUUGUAGUUUCAUUAUUUUGAAUUAAAUUUGGGAUUGUAUUGAUUGCAGGGUGUUAUAGUGUUGUCGGAGCUCAACCGACAAUGGGAAUUGUUGCAAAAGAUAAUAAGGUUAUAGUGUUGUGGGAGCUCAACCAACAAUGGAGAUUUUUGGUGAUCCUAUGGUGAUUCCAGGACUAGAAAAGAUAAUAAGUUUAAUAGUUAUAUUGGAUUAAGAGUUCUUCUAUGCGUAAAUGCUGCUACUGUUCGUCUUUACUGUGAAAGACUCUACUAUAUUCUUUGCAUAAUAUGCUUGGCGGACUAACACUGGUUUUAUAUGCAGGGAACGUCACACUCAUUGCAUUGCCACUUGAACUGAAAACUACUUACAACACUUUGUACAUAUCUCUAAUUUAGAUUUCACCCUUGAUUUUUGGUUUAACGUACUUAGUACUUUCCAAAUUAGAGACAUGUAUAUACAAAAAGGUAGAGCAAUGGACGGGCAAUUGAGAAAACUUGAUAUUAUGUUGGGAAAGGUUAAGACUGUUGAUCAAAGCACUGAUGGUUCAGCAGAGUAGGAGAAAUAAUAGAUGGUGAAACUUGACUGCUUGUAGAGUAUGUUGUAAUAAAGUAAUUUGCGGAUUUCAGCUUUCGGUUCAAGACUAUUGCAAUUUCAAUCUUGUAAACAAUGUAUUCCUAUAUAAACGUACAUUCUCAUGGUUCAUGAUUUUAGUGUAAAAAGCUUUUGGAGUUAAUAAAUGUCCUGCAAUAAA
Molecule: long non-coding RNA, 2004 nt
Organism: Vicia villosa (hairy vetch)
Lineage: Eukaryota; Viridiplantae; Streptophyta; Magnoliopsida; Fabales; Fabaceae
Exons: 6
Source: RefSeq, a predicted model, not a curated record